UACGUAGGGUGCGAGCGUUAAUCGGAAUUACUGGGCGUAAAGCGUGCGCAGGCGGCCGCGCAAGUCGAGUGUGAAAGCCCCGGGCUUAACUUGGGAAUUGCGCUCGAAACUACGUGGCUGGAGUGUGGCAGAGGAAGGUGGAAUUCCACGUGUAGCGGUGAAAUGCGUAGAGAUGUGGAGGAACACCAAUGGCGAAGGCAGCCUUCUGGGCCAACACUGACGCUCAUGCACGAAAGCGAGGGGAGCAAACAGG
This 253-nucleotide ribosomal RNA is filed under the name uncultured bacterium. RNAcentral describes it as "partial 16S ribosomal RNA". It matches the Rfam family "Bacterial small subunit ribosomal RNA", at positions 524 to 776 of the family's 1533-position model. The record is from RNAcentral.